This is a long non-coding RNA of Drosophila suzukii, 645 nucleotides long. RefSeq lists it as uncharacterized. The record is from RefSeq and is a predicted model, not a curated record. Lineage: Eukaryota; Metazoa; Arthropoda; Insecta; Diptera; Drosophilidae.
CUUUUGAGCUUUUCAGUGGCAAGUUGGCUGCGGAAUGGGCGCGAUGCGUCUGGCAAAACAAGUGAACUGGUGGCAAGGUUUGUUGGCUUCGCUCCUGGCGGCGGUUCACCUUCGCGGCGGCAGGGGAAAAUACUCUAUAAAAGGGCCCCGGUUUUUGGGUUUUUCUCUUCACGUCGCCGCUGUGACGUUAUACAGGUAGGUACUUACAUAGCCACAUACCACUUAUGCAAUCCCCUGCCGGCGACCUUGGCUAUCUUCUUUUUCCAGACAGAAUUGCAAAAGCCCAAUGCUCCGCUCACCCAUUCACUGCAGCUCUCUUUUAGAUCGUUUAAUGGCUUCAUUUGGCGUAAUUCAACUGGAGCAAAGUUCAACGCUAAUAGAUCAAAUGGGCCAGGGAGAGAUAUACCACUUUUUUUGCAGCUACUCAAGGCUAAAUGAAAUAAAUGCCUUAAUUACUAUAAUUACUAUGCCAAAGAAUGCUUUUCGGUGGCUGAGUGAUGGACAGACAGCCAAAGCCGCAAAAUCAAUAAACAUGUCUAUAUUAAAAAUUUCGUUGUUUGCCUAUUGCACAAUUUCAAUGUCAUCUAAGAAAAAAAAAAAGAAAAAAUUAACAAGCCGGCGUUAAGGGCGUGACUAAGGGCGUUU